This 718-nucleotide ribosomal RNA is filed under the name uncultured Burkholderia sp. RNAcentral describes it as "bacterial SSU rRNA". It matches the Rfam family "Bacterial small subunit ribosomal RNA", at positions 9 to 719 of the family's 1533-position model. The record is from RNAcentral. Lineage: Bacteria; Pseudomonadati; Pseudomonadota; Betaproteobacteria; Burkholderiales; Burkholderiaceae.
GAGUUUGAUCAUGGCUCAGAUUGAACGCUGGCGGCAUGCCUUACACAUGCAAGUCGAACGGCAGCAUGGGUGCUUGCACCUGGUGGCGAGUGGCGAACGGGUGAGUAAUACAUCGGAACAUGUCCUGUAGUGGGGGAUAGCCCGGCGAAAGCCGGAUUAAUACCGCAUACGAUCUGAGGAUGAAAGCGGGGGACCUUCGGGCCUCGCGCUAUAGGGUUGGCCGAUGGCUGAUUAGCUAGUUGGUGGGGUAAAGGCCUACCAAGGCGACGAUCAGUAGCUGGUCUGAGAGGACGACCAGCCACACUGGGACUGAGACACGGCCCAGACUCCUACGGGAGGCAGCAGUGGGGAAUUUUGGACAAUGGGCGAAAGCCUGAUCCAGCAAUGCCGCGUGUGUGAAGAAGGCCUUCGGGUUGUAAAGCACUUUUGUCCGGAAAGAAAUCCUUGGUUCUAAUAUAGCCGGGGGAUGACGGUACCGGAAGAAUAAGCACCGGCUAACUACGUGCCAGCAGCCGCGGUAAUACGUAGGGUGCAAGCGUUAAUCGGAAUUACUGGGCGUAAAGCGUGCGCAGGCGGUUUGCUAAGACCGAUGUGAAAUCCCCGGGCUCAACCUGGGAACUGCAUUGGUGACUGGCANGCUAGAGUAUGGCAGANGGGGGGUAGAAUUCCACGUGUAGCAGUGAAAUGCGUAGAGAUGUGGAGGAAUACCGAUGGCGAA